GCUGCCGUAGCUCAGUUGGCUAGAGCGCCUGACUGUGGAUCAGGAGGCCGUUGGUUCAAGUCCAACCGGCAGUACCA
Molecule: transfer RNA, 77 nt
Filed under: Blastocatellia bacterium
Lineage: Bacteria; Pseudomonadati; Acidobacteriota; Blastocatellia
Description: tRNA-His
Rfam family: tRNA
About the family: Transfer RNA (tRNA) molecules are approximately 80 nucleotides in length. Their secondary structure includes four short double-helical elements and three loops (D, anti-codon, and T loops).
Source: RNAcentral